UUUUUAUUGAAUUUAGAGAAGUAAAACAUAAGUCAGAAGUGACCUGUGCUGAAAUCGGAGCGAAAACAGAAGAUUUAGAAUAUUCUGUUGGAAACGGGACAGAUAAUGUAAUAUAUCGAAUUUCCACUACGUAGCUAAUUGGGAUCAAAUUGAUCACAAUAAUGCAAAAAUAAAAAUUAAUUGCUUCCAAAUUAAUUUGAUAACUUGUGGAAGUGUGUUAGUAUGUUUUGGAAGUGUUUAAGUGGACUCGGAAUGAUUUAGAUGCACGAGAAAGGCUUCAAAUUGCUGCUGCCCGGUUCUGAUUAGUGCAGGGACUGCAUUGUAAGUCUGCAGGGACUAAACUGCGAACUGUAGGGACUGAAUUGUAAACUUCAGGAUUGUAAUGCACUUUUGCUGAAGUAGGGGGUUAAGUUGCAAUUAUGCAUCCUUAUCACUUAACCCCAGCUGGUUGGAAGGUGUACACGUGCUGGUUAACCCCUCCAUCAGCUUAAUUUCAUCCAAUUUCUUUUCCCCUUCUCUCUCGUAGCCUAGUAACCAGCUAAGGAAGAAAAAGCUUGGUGGAGUUGGGUUUUCCUUGCGUUUGGAGCUGAGAACAGUGGCCGAGCAGGGGGAUUGUGUUGCUGGUGUUGGAAACAACCUGGUUUAGUACCUAAUUAAGGUAAGCUUGUUUUGGUAUCUGAUUAUAAUUAAGUUAAUUAUCUUAGAGAAGGGUUAAUGAAGACCUUUUUGCUGCCAGGACUUAAACCUUGGUGAGUUGUUGAAGCAGAAUUAGAGGGAGUUCUUGCUGUUAGAGCUAUUGAGCAGGAGACUUGGACCCUUUGAGCUGAGAGCAGCUUGGUGGACUAUAAAUUAAGGUAAAGUAGGUUCUAUAAUUAGUUAUAGUCCAAUUAUAUAAUUGCUUUAGAGAUGACUUAUAGAAGGAUUUCUUGCUGCUGAAAUUGCAGACCUGAAAUUCAGGCUGAUUGAAGCUGUCGAGGUGGAAAUCAGCUGAUGGAGCUUGAGAAUUGAGGUAGAUUACUUACCUCUUAGCUGAGAAUUAAUUAUAGCUGCAAAGGGGAGUAAGUUUAAAGCAUUAAAAUUGAUAUUAAUUGGUAGGUGGCUGCUGCCCAAGUGGUGCAGGAAUUGGGCGCCCAAAUUGGAAGAGAUUUAGUAGAGUUCUUGGGUGUCCAAAUUGAUAGCUAAAGCUUUCUUGGGUGCUCCGAAUUGAAAGGGAGGACUUGGGGGAACUUUGAAUAGGUAGGAAUAAUACUUUCCCUUGUUUAAGUACUAUUGAUUACUCUAAAGGGAAGGGUAAACAUUAGUGAGGAAGUAGUAGUGCUGAAAUUCCAGCAUAGUGCAGAAUUUCAGCAUUAGAAAUUCUUGCUGUGGAGCUGAGAACGAACUAAUUGAGCAGUGAACUACGGUAAAUAUGAUUGUAUUAUGAUUAGGAAUCGGUUAAUUGUAACAGAUUGAUGUUAAUUAAGAGUUCUAUGGGUAUUUGAGUUAGUGAAAACUCAAACCUGCAUUGAGGAAUUCCUAGUUUGAACCUUCUAAAACUAGCUUACACUAUAUACUUGUGCAUACUAGGAAUGAUCAGUAAAGAGAAAAUUGGAAUUAAAGUAGCUUUAAAUUCUGAGUUAAGGUGAUGAUAAUCCCUGUCUAGAGAGGUUGAAUUAUAAGUUAUUCUAGUUCUUAGAACUCCAAGCUACAUGGGGGGCUUGGUAAUGAGACUUAUGUGUAAAUGUGUGUUGAUAAUGUACAUAUACACAAGCAAAUUGGAGUAGCAAUGCAAACUUGUAAAAUAUGUGAAUGUGACCCUAGUUUAAUCUCUUUUAUUCCUUUAUAAAUGAAGGUUUGAUGUGCUCGGAAGUUCAAAUUCACGUUCCGACGGAUCUAUGACGCACUAAUUACGGUAGAAGCCGUUCUAGCUCUACUUGCACUGAGUUGCGAGAGCUCGUUGUUGAUACAGUUCGAGACAUUGAUUCCAAUUUGUUGGCAUCUCUACAGGUGGGGGGUGCUAUCUGAAAUCAUUGAAUCACUCUUUAUGUCUAUGUUACCUUUUUGAGCAUAUCUGUAUAUGAAUAAAUUAAUAUUCAUGCAUUAUAGGGUUAAUGGUAUUAAGUGUUUAUGAAAUGAAUAAUUGAGCAUAUCUCAUUGUUAAGAACAUGUGAACCAUAAAGUGUGGACAUAGAACCCUAUGAAUGUGUGAAUUUUACUGUGGACUAUGACAUAGUAAGCCUGGUGACAUUAUGACUAGAAAUAUUGAUUAGCGUCGACAUUGAAAUUAUAAAACUAGCAUAAAGAGCUAGUUAGAGUAAAGUGUGGCAUUGUCUUUCAAUGGAUCCUCUAAAGGAGGAUCAGAUCAUACUCACAUCAGUUUUAUGUUCAAGGAAUGUCGCUCCUCCUUGAACGAUGAGCUCCGGAGUAGUCAUCUCAACUGGAUCAGGAGCUAGCGUCUCCCCCAGUAGACAGUCCCGUCGUGAUGUAGCUUGCGUCUCCCCGAUAUUUGGGAUUUCGUCGGUGAGUUAUUGUUAACCAAAGGGUUAACCAGUUUAAUUGGGUAAUAAUUAUGAACAACAUGCAUGCAUCAAUUUCAGCUAUUAUUUACUGUUUCUUUCAGCUUUAUAGAGGCAUUAUAGUAGUUACAUGUUAUAGCUGGUUAUUAUCUAUUCUCUUUUCUUGUCUACAUAUACCUGAAUAGACCUAGUGGGUGAGUCGGCGAGGUCGGCGGCCGAACCCACUGGGAACUUUUAGUAGUUCUCACACCACUAACCAUGCAGGUCCUAGCACGAGCGAUGUGGCCGAGGAUCGCGGCAAGAGCCCAGCAUCUUAGCUAGUGGACACCAGUAUAUAGUGGUAUACCCAUUUUGGUUCAUGUUGAAUAUAGUGAUGAACAGAAAGACAUGUAAAUAUUUGUAUAAAUAAAUCUGUAAAUGAUGUAAAUAACUAAAUGCUUCAGUUAUCCAGUUUUAUAGUUCAGUUUUGAAGUUUUAAAAUUACAGUGAGUACAUGUUUAGUUAAGUUCAGUUUCACUUGUUCCUGUUGCUUGCCCUCGUGCAGGCCAUGUAUAUUGAAAUUUUAUCCUGGAAAUUAUUUAUUUCUUUAUACAUAUACUCGUUGUUGUUGAGCUUUGAGCGGACAGGGGAGGUGCUCUCCGUUCGGCGUCUGUGUACGGGCCCGGAUCGACCAAAUUGGCGAUAGCGGGACGUAACAGAUAAAUUAGCAGAAAAUGCAGUCUGAGAAAAUUAUGAAAAUUGGAGGAUAAGCCAGAAUUAUUUUUAUGAGGCUAGAUUUAAAGUUUCAUGUCAUUCUGACACCCGGAAGGUAGAAAAUAAAAUCCGACAGCUAUCUGAUAAAGAUUACAGUUCGGUACAGUUUUCGGUGACCAAACGGGGUCGAAACUGAACCAGUGAUCGUCAGCUUGUUAAGUUAAGUAAAACCGAACAUGACUGUUAAAUUUGAGCUCAAACGGAUAUUCAGGGAGCUCCGGCGAAAGAUAUUAGAUUUCGAGCUACCUGGAGUGAAUAGUGGUUUGGGUGUUAAUGUAUAAAAGAGUAUUUCUCUUCUUCUCCCCCAACCGUGCAGCCACACACACACAUGCGCCACACACACACGCAUGCAUGGAGGGAGAGAGAGACCUCCCUUUCUCUCUCUAAAUCUCUCCCAAAAGAGGUGGUUUUGGUGGAGAUUGAAGCUUAAAGGUGGAUUUUCAUUUUCAUCGUCUUCUUCCUCUCCAUUGGAGCUUGUUUGAGAGGUAAGCUUUGAUGCCCUCUCAUGGUAGAUCUUUAGAGCUUCAUUUAUAUGCUCUAAAAAUAGUUUAUUUGGAAUCCUAGCAUGCUUAAAUAGAGGAUAAAUGCUAGAAUCUAGAGGAUUAAUGGUGGAUUUUUACCUAGUUGUAAUCUAGGGCUCAAAAAUGGAGUUUUGUAAAAUAUGGGGGUUUGAUCUAAUUUGACCCUUCGUAAACCUAAUUGCUAGGUAAACGAACGCGGUUGGCGAAGUCGGUUCGGCGAUUCGUCUAGCUGUUGUAAAGAUAUUAAAGAAACGGACGUUUAGGCUUCGUUUCCGCCUGGAGGGCCGAGGCGACAUCGUAAAGUCAUGAAAACGGAUUUGGAGUAACGUGGCACAUAACCGAAGACCUAUAAUUUUCGGUGCCGCGAUCCGACGCACGGUUGGUGAGUGUUAGCAAAAUCGGGCUGAACCGGACACGGGUGACGCGGGAGGCCGAUUGCAAGUGUCGACAAGCAAUCGGAAAGCGAUUUGAGGUGGGUUGUGCUUACCGAAGCGACUAGGUCGCCUGUAUGUCUAAGUAAAGUGAAUUCAUGUUGAUGCAUAUAAAUACUAGAUGGAUGCAUGUAGUAACUCCUAAAGGGAAUGCAUGCUAAAGAUGCAUUAUAGAAAUUCUAGAAUGCAUGAUGAUGUAAUAUAAAUGCAUGUUAAUUAUCUAAAGUAAGAUGCUAAGAGAUUGUACAUGAAGUGACAUAAUAUAAGAAUGCUAAAUAAAUGCAUGAAUGAUGUGGUAUAGAAAUGCUAGAAUAUAUGCAUUGGUUAAUGUUAGUUGAAUGCAUGUCAUAGAAAUGCUAAAUGUAAGCAUGUGGUUAAUGCUAAGAUUAUUUCUAAUUGAUGCAUAAAGUUGUAUUAGUAGGUUUACAUAAUAUUAUGAAUGCUUGAAACAUACUAUGUAGUUGAAAUUACCUACCAAUGAGAUGAAAUGUAUACUGAAUUAAAUAGUAAAAGAAUGCAUGAGAUGCUAAGUAUGGACUAUAUUAGAAGAAUUAUACAUGUUGCCAUAUUGGGGAACAUAGUAGAUGAACUAUACUUGUUGAACUUGGGUCGAUAACUCUAGGUUGAUUAGAGAACUCGACAUUGGAAAACUAGUAUAAUGUGCAUAUGGACAAUCUAUAUACAUUAGAUCGAGUGGCAUUAAACCUAGUGUCUUGAACAUAGGUUGAACAUGAAUGAUAUGAACCUAGUGUUAGUAAACCUAGGUCGGACAUGAAGGACAUAUGAACCUAGCGUUAAAGAACAUAGGUUAGAAUCAUGUGUGGCAUUUAAUCUACCGUUAAAGAACAUAGGUUGGACAUGAACCUAGUGUUAAAGAAAGUAGUUAAACAAGGUUUAACCCAAAGUGACAUUGUGGCUUGGUAUUAGCGGUAUAUGCAUGAUUAGGUAAAAACCUAUCAUUGGCAUUGAGGCAUAAAGAUAUGGAACAGGUUGGCUAUACCUCCUCAAAUUGAGGAUGGUAUCGUACUCACAUGUAUCGGUUCCGGCUUGUGCGAGGUCGCUCCUCUACAGGCGGUGUACUCCGGAGUAUAGACACUACGGGUGAGAGUGCCCGGCGAAGAUCCCUCGGGUGACAGUGCCUUAUGCCUUCCCCGGUAGACGGGAUGGAUCUCUCGGGGGCAUUUUCCAAUGCUAAUCCCGGUAGAUGGGACAUAUGAGAUGUGAGCUUGGGGCGAACUUGAUGAACCCCGGAAAGAUUGGGUAAAGGCCAAAGUGAAUGUGUGAAAGUAUGCAUUAUGAGUUAUGGAUUUGGUAUUCCAGUUGAGUGGAUUUAUGGCUGAGGUGCAUGUGGGACGUCCUUCACCUCGAGCUUGGAUGCAUGCGGUAUUCCGCAGAUGAUUGACUCGAGACCGAGUCGGGUGGUUAGCUUGGCUACGGUAGAGGAAAAGCUUAGCAGCAAAUAACCAAUGAUAUAAAGUGACAAGAUGUAUAAAUUAUGAAAAAGCUAUGGAUAGCAUGAUAGAAAGUAAAAUCAUUUAUUUUACUUGUAUAGUUGCAUGGUUUCAUAUUGCAUAUCGCGAGGCAUGACAUGUAGUUCAAUAUCGAAUAAAUGUUUAAGUAUCUGUUAUGUGUUAUUGGACUAACCUGUUGCAGUGCCUCAUUAGACCUAUUGGUUGAGCUUUUCCCUUGGGUGGCCGUACCAUCUGGAAACUAUGGAGUUGGUUCUCACCCCACGUUGUUUUGGGAUGUUACAGGUUCACACGUGAGCGGCACGGCGGCGCGAGGCGAGGACGUAGCUCCGUAGUUAGCGCCCUACUACCGAGACCAGAGAUAGCGGUACCCUGAGUCGACUACUUAGGGAUGUAAGAAAAUGAAAGGAAUAAGAUUGCAAUAAUUUAUAAUAAAAGCAUGAUUGUAUUUCGAAGUUAAAUAUAAUAUGUAAUUGUGAUGUAAAAUAUAUCUAGUGAAUUUGAAUGCUUGUAAUAACAAGUAGAUUAUGUUUUUGAUACUUCCUUAUGCAAUCUUUGAUUGAAUGUGUUCUUGGUUGGAACUUCGUAUAUUGUAUUGAUUGCGACACCUUGAAUGUACAGAGGAGACUCUGUCCGUGGUACAGGGAAAACCCUGUCCGUUCGGCGGUCCGUUGGCGUACCCAAAAUCGACCAAAUAGGCGGGCUUGGGGCGUGACAGAUAAGAUGGUAUCAGAGCAUAAAAGAAACGUAAAAAGAAUAAUAGAAAAUGAUUUAGUUGGACCUAGGAGACCAUAGGAUAGUAAACCAUAGGAGAUUAAGGCUCGUGAGAGACGAGGACUUGUUUCUUUUGGCGAAAGGUUAAUUGAUUGGGUUGUGUCAUAAACCUCUAAAACGGAUGUUAGAGGUAGACUCAGGGUGAGGUUUAUUCUCAACAGAGGGUGUUCAUGUUGGGUGCACACAACAUGAAGCCAAGUGAUGAGAAUAAACGCCCUUGCAUGACUUUUGCCCGAUUUGAGUCAGUAUUAAGUGUCUUGUGUUCGACCUAGAAGGUCGAGGAUUAAUAGAGUUGUCGUGUUUUAGGAAGCGAUAGCACUACGUAGGCGAUCUUCAUUUAGAUCGGUGCGGGAUUGGCCAAGUGGUGUCCCUGGGCAAUUUGAGGCGAGCGGAGACUUGGAACUUCGCGAGUUUUGGCAGCUCUCAUGACCUUUGAGAAAUUAACGGAAUUCUCGUUGUGUUAGAUCACUUUUGGUCAAAUUGACCGAAGUGCAAGGUUGGUAUGCUUCGGUAAGGCCGAAGGCAUCGAAAGGAGUAAAGGUGCGUCAUUGGGGAUCUUCGAGAGCUCGGCAUUUGAAAAUCUGCAAACUGCAGGUUUUCUGCUCUCGGAGAUCGGUUCCUACGGGGAGAGACCAGUCCCCGAACGCGUAGGCAACGAGAAGGCUGAGAAAUCGGCUAAGUCCUGGAAAACCAGCUCUCGGGAACCGGUCCCUGCGAGGAGAGACCGAUCCCAGAGACCGGUUCCAUCGGGGGAGACUGGUUGCAUCGGGCGUGAGCUCUGCUGACCGCGGGGAGAGCUCUCUGGGACCGGUCCCAGGCUCGAGAGACCGGUCCCCGAGCCCGAAAAUGGCCGAGUCAGGGCAGUGUAAAAGAAUAAAAGUUGAGGGGCUUAUUUGUACUUAUGCACCAUGUGGGGCUAUGUGGGGGGUAUGAGAGCUCUUUUCUCUCAUUUUUCGCCCACACACCCUCUCAUAUCUCUCUUUCUCUCUCUAGAAGACAAGAAGAGGAAGAAGAAAGGAAAGGAAAGAAGGAGAAGAAGAAGGAGGUUUUCCUCAUCUUCUUCAUCUUCUCCUUGGUUGGAGCUUCUCGGAGGGGUAAGCUCCUAAGCUCUCUCUCAUGGUGGAUUUCUAGAGAUAGGUUUGAUUGCUCUAGAAAUGAAGUAUUGUAUUAUCUGAGGGCGUAGUACCUGCCAGUACAGGUAUAGAGCCAGAUGGCACUAGCGAAGUGCUAGAGGUAAUCUAUGGCGAGAAGUGAGACUCGCGGUAGAGAUAGAAGUGGCGAAACGACUCUUAGAGCAAUAUGAGUAGUAAAUUGCGAGAGUUGAGCCAUGAUGCUUAUGAGAACACCCGAGUAGUCCGAAAAUUUCGGAUGUCAUUCCGGUAGAUCGAACAGUGAAAGUAGCAUCACUGUUGAGAGAAUGGUCGAUUGGUGGCCAAGUUUGAGCACGUGGGCCUAGUAGUACCUCAAGGUGAGGUAGGCAGUUGUGCUCGUGCAGCCGGUGUGCAUAGGCAAGAUUGCCUAAUGCUGGACUUCGUGUGGAACGCUGUAGAGGCGUAGAGCGCUCUAGUGUAGAUACCCAUAGAGUGCGGAUGUGGAUUCAGCCGAGAGAGUGUAUUGGCAGUAGCACCUGAGCAUUGCUAGGUGUGAAGCGGGCCAUGGAUCACUCGUGGGACUGGUGACUCGCACUAUGUGCAUAGGAGCCGAUAUUGGUACGUGCGACUCAGUAGAGUAUGUCGUGUAGGACGACGACGGCGGGUAGUGCUUGGGGACGACCCGUGCCUGGACGAUUUGUGGACUAUGGAGCCUGGGCCCAUUGGGCAGGCGCAGUCAGCUGUGAGUGACAGUGGCCCGGUACCUACGGAUAAGGCAAAGUUCUGGUCAAGAUGGUAGUCCGAGCUUAGACCCGGGAGCGUGGAAUGCCACGUGAUACAUUGUGUGACCGAUGGUACACCGAGUAUGGUUGUGACCCAACCCGAGGGCUUGACGUGGUUUGGGGUCUUAGUUGCUCCUGGUUGGAGUGUGUGCGAAUUCCCAAGUGAGAAUUUCGCCCGAUGAUGAUUGGGUCUCCAUUUGCGAGGGAGAGACGCUGCGUAUUGAGACAGGUUUAGGCGGUAGGUCUACGUAGGAUUGGUGGCCUUUGGUCCACCUGUGGAGACCGAAGAAAGCGAUUUGGCAGAUAGCCUUAUCGAGGAGCUGACUCGAAUUUACGAACGAAGCGCUCGCGUGAGCUCGUUGCGAAAAUAGUUUGAUGUUAAUCGUGGCAUGUGGUAUCAGAUGAUGAAGUGCUUCUUAUGAGACAUCGAACUAGUGGAAAGCCACGUGAUGUUGGAGACUAUACUCUUAAGCGAACUAAAACUUGAGAUGUGCCGAAGUGGGCCAUCUCACGUUAAAGUCAAGGGUCAGUGCGAAAUUAGAGCACUCACGACGGAACGAUGCAUCGGUGAUAUUGCUUCUAAGCAAUGUCGGUGAUCGAAUUAGAAUGUAUUCCUGAAGGAAAGGUAAGUGCAAAGAAGAGUUCUUUGUGUACCGAAUGGCGAGUGGUGUUGGAGCGCGUAGAGUCGUCGAGUACCGACUUGCGCUUUCACUAUGACUUGCAAGAUCCGUGAUGCACCUUUGUAUCACACUUUGCAAAUGUGUUUAGGAUUAAACCCACGUCCUUCAGUAUGAGCCGCUUCUGGAACCACGAUAGUGUGAAACCGCUUUGGAGUGGGAGAAUGAGUUGGUACCCUCAAUUGCUCGCGGAGCUGAAUUGAGGCGUGAUUUGAAUUUCGCGGACGAAAUUUUUUUAAGGGGUGGAGAAUGUAACAUACCAGAUUUUGGUAUAAAAAUAAAAAUAAAUAAAAAUAGUGUGAGAAACUAUUUUUAUUGAAUUUAGAGAAGUAACACAUAAGUCAGAAGUGACUUGUGCUGAAAUCGGAAUAAAAACAGAAGAUUUAGAAUUUUCUGUUGGAAACGGGACAGAUAAAUUAGCAGAAAAUGCACAGUCUCAGAAAAUUAUGAAAAUUGGAGGAUAAGCCAGAAUUAUUUUUAUGAGGCUAGAUUUAAAGUUUCAUGUCAUUGUGACACCCGGAAGAUGGAAAAUAAAAUCCGACAGCUAUCUAAUAAAGAUUACAGUUCGGUACAGUUUUCGGUGACAAAACGGGGUUGAAACUGAAAUAUUAAAAUUUUUUUGGACUCGUUAAGUAAAACUGAACAUGACUGUCAAAUUUGAGCUCAAACGGAUAUUCAGGGAGCUCCGACGAAAUAUAUCAGAUUUCGAGCUGCCUGGAGUGAAUAGUAUUUUGGGUGUUAAUGUAUAAAAGAGCAUUG
This 9752-nucleotide long non-coding RNA is filed under the name Ananas comosus (pineapple). Its description in RNAcentral is "long non-coding RNA (ACOM_LNC041819)". Lineage: Eukaryota; Viridiplantae; Streptophyta; Magnoliopsida; Poales; Bromeliaceae. The record is from RNAcentral.